RNAcentral lists this ribosomal RNA (496 nucleotides) under uncultured bacterium. RNAcentral's name for it is "partial 16S ribosomal RNA". It matches the Rfam family "Bacterial small subunit ribosomal RNA", at positions 28 to 506 of the family's 1533-position model. The record is from RNAcentral.
GAUGAACGCUGGCGGCGUGCCUAAUACAUGCAAGUCGAGCGAACAGAUAAGGAGCUUGCUCCUUUGACGUUAGCGGCGGACGGGUGAGUAACACGUGGGUAACCUACCUAUAAGACUGGGAUAACUUCGGGAAACCGGAGCUAAUACCGGAUAACAUUUGGAACCGCAUGGUUCUAAAGUGAAAGAUGGUUUUGCUAUCACUUAUAGAUGGACCCGCGCCGUAUUAGCUAGUUGGUAAGGUAACGGCUUACCAAGGCAACGAUACGUAGCCGACCUGAGAGGGGGAUCGGCCACACUGGAACAGAGACACGGUCCAAACUCCUACGGGAGGCAGGAGUAGGGAAUCUUCCGCAAUGGGCGAAAGCCUGACGGAGCAACGCCGCGUGAGUGAUGAAGGGUUUCGGCUCGUAAAACUCUGUUAUUAGGGAAGAAAAAAUGUGUAAGUAACGGUCCACGUUUUGACGGUACCUAAUCAGAAAGCCACGGCUAACUACGU